AUUGAACGCUGGCGGCAGGCCUAACACAUGCAAGUCGAACGCGUGGCGGACGGGUGAGUAAUGUCUGGGAAACUGCCUGAUGGAGGGGGAUAACUACUGGACACGGUAGCUAAUACCGCAUACCUUCCGAUGUGCCCAGUUGGGAUGAGCUCGUUGGUGGGGGAACGGCGCACCAAGGCGACGAUCCCUACCUGGUCUGAGAGGAUGACCAGCCACACUGGAAAUGAGACACGGUCCAGACGCCUACGGGAGGCAGGAGUGGGGAAUAUGGCACAAUGGGCGAAAGCCUGAUGCAGCCAUGCCGCGGGUAUGAAGAAGGCCUGCGGGUUGUAAAGUACGUUCAGCGGGGAGGCGUUACCCGCAGAAGAAGCACCGGCUAACGCCGUGCCAGCAGCCGCGGUAAUAC
Molecule: ribosomal RNA, 406 nt
Filed under: uncultured bacterium
Lineage: Bacteria
Description: partial 16S ribosomal RNA
Rfam family: Bacterial small subunit ribosomal RNA
Source: RNAcentral